GGCAGAUCGAGCGCGCGCACCAGCAACUCUUUUGGGGCACUUUAAGAUUGAACAACAACAGGUCCUUUGUGGCAGACAGAGCUUCAUUUGAAUGGUGUUGCUCUUCACAUCUAGGUCGCCACAGCAGAAUAAACAGUCAACUAUUCCAGUUGAAUACAGAAUAGUUGCUAAUAAGCUAACCGAGUUUCUAGAUUAUCAACAGACCAACGACGAGAUGAUCCCAAGGUUUCCAUAUCCGGGACUGCUGCUGCGC
Molecule: non-coding RNA, 253 nt
Organism: Danio rerio (zebrafish)
Lineage: Eukaryota; Metazoa; Chordata; Actinopteri; Cypriniformes; Danionidae
Source: RefSeq, a predicted model, not a curated record